UCCCUCCUCCUGGAUCCCCCUGCUCCUGGAUUCCCUGCUCCCCCCUUUGUCUCUCCCGUGCCCCAUCACCUCAGGCCCGGCCACGUGCUGUGUCUAGCAGCUCGAGGCAGGGCCUCUCUCCAUCCCGAAUAAACCUUAUCCGCCAAGAGCAACCAACAGAGAUCUCUCGUCUGUAUCCACCCAAACCGUCCUGGAGCCCUCAUACGUCUUUACAGUCUCCGACAGCCACCCAUGACUUCUUGUCACCCUUGGGGCUACGCUGUUGUGCCACCAGGCCUGGGGAGCAGCAGCACACAUACAGAUGUUCACUUCUCACUUCAGUAGAAAUGUGACAGGCUUUUAUCGUAAUUUCUGCAUCUUUUAAAUCUCACUGUAAAAUAGUGAGCAUGCAGUAACAGAAGGAAGAAAACUCUGGUUUUUUUGAACGCUUGUUACUUCUCUUCGCCUUGGCACACAAUAACUGUGUUCUGUAAAUUUGUGCAGUUUGGUUCUGCAAGGUCCUGAGCACCCUCCAAAUCUUGUUGGUUUCAGCAGUGGAUCAGCAGUUCACUGGCCUGAAACAUCUGUGGGAUAACUGCUAAAGCUUGGUUGGCUUCUUCUUGGAUGCAGUUUUAGCCCCUGAGUGAGUCACUUUGUCCUCACCCUCACCCCGCUUCUGAGUGCUUGUCCUGCAGAUGAGCAGUGAGGUGUUGUUAUCUAAACUUCAUUGCCUGAAAGGAGGUAUGAGCAGAAGUGGUCUGAUCAUUUGAAAUGCCUUGACUAGGUAAUGAUGUCCUGGACCAGGCUGGAAGGUAGCAGUUCUCUUGCUUUUUGUUUUAUCUUUUGUGAUUUUUUAGUAUAUUUCCACUCUCUGCACUAAAUUUCAGAUAUAAUAUUUGAUAUUUUUUAGAAAGCAGAUAUUUUUCAGUGUCCUAAAAUACAAUUGUGCAGAAACUUCAAGCAGCCUGAAACGUGCAAUUCCCAUUUUCUUUUUGGUAGGAUAUAGGAAGAAAGAUAAAUGAAGUAACCAGUUAUUUAGGCCUAAAUAUUAUUUUCAACUGGAUGCUGAUGUAUAUCACUUGAUUCCAGCAAAUUCUGCCAAGCAAAGUGACUCUUCUGGGGUUUCUUUGGCUGACUUGUUUAUUGUGAGUGAAAAGAAUUGUUUCAAUGAUUUUCUUCCUCGGAUGGUUCUGAAUUGACUUUAUUACUUUCUGAAAUUGAUUGUUAUUGUGCCUAUCUAGGCUGCCCUUGUAUCUCACUACAGGUCUUUAUUUUCAAUGUGUGUGUGUGUAUAUGUAUAUUUAUAAAUACUUGAAAAACUUAUAAAAUGGCGUUACACAUCUGUGCCACUCUGUAAGCUUAUUUCCCUUCUUCUAGUAGACAAAUCUUGAAUGGCAGUGUAAAGUAAUAUCUUGUUAGUUUUAUGCAGCCUGCAGAUUUGAUUAAAAUGUGGUGAAAAAGUGCCUAUAGUACAUAUGAGGAAGUGAGGGCAAGCCUUUCCUGAAUCAUGGUGUGGAUCUCACAUGAGGAUUGCUGGGAGAAGCUGUAAAAGCUAAGUGAUGUGUAUUAAUAGAACUGUGCUAAAGAUCAUGGGAAAGUGUUUUAUUAUAUUCCUGAAAUAUUGUAUCUUUUUUUAAAAUAGUAAUUUGAAAUGGCAAGAAGAAAAUGAAGUCUGGAAAUUAAUUUGAUGUUACAGUGUAACUUUGCUGAGAUCUUACGGUGGGGCCCAUAGCACAAUUAAUACUUUCUUACACAGUGCCAGAGUGCUUGACAGCUGCACCAUCUGCCUUUGUGUGGGAUAGAUGGGAUUUUAUCAAUAUUUAUUUUAUAAUUAACCCCUACAGUGCUGGUCCACAUACAGGGGGGAAAAGGUUUAGAUGUUGUUAGUUACUGAAGGGUUGGAAGCAGGGUGUGGGCUGGGUAUGGAGGGUGGUACUGCAAGGUGUAGAUAUUUUGGUAACUGCGAAGCAGAGCAAGAGCCCACUUUCACAGGGAUUGGCUCUUCUGUUGUGGAGGGAUAUCUUGAGCUGUGAAUACAGACUUUGGGUUAAAUGAGCAUUGCUCAUUUCCACGUGCACCCACCUGUGGGAGCUGGAAGAUGGGAGCUUAGCAAAGUACAGUAUGCUAAGUAUACCGGAUUCCUGUGGUGUCUAGUCUCAACUGAGCUGAAACUGCAUCUUCUUCUGUACUGAUAGGGUUUCUUUCUUUUGCUUUGUUACUAUUCUUACUAAACAGUUAGGAAGUUAGUUGUUAGCCAGGUCUCUUUUCCUUGACUUGAAGGGCAGUGACUUGGUGGGAUAAAGAAAUAGAGAUUGUACAUAACAAUAUUAUGUACACUCAUAUAUAACAAGACUAGCUAUGCCACAGCAGAGUCUAAGGAUAUCCUGGAGCUGAGGUCUUCAGCCUGCCCCCGUUCUCAGUGAUUUUGGGUAGAUGACAAGCCAGGCUGUGCUCCUGUGAUUGUACUUGGCUUUGGUGUAUUGGUAUUGCAGAGCUGUUUGUUCUGGUUGAAUCAUUAGGUAUUAGUGAUAGAGGCAGAUACUGUGUGUAGGGUUCCUGUUGAAUAUUCCCCUUAGUGAUUUUUAGCUUUAGCUGGGAGAUUGGCAUGUGACAUGUGUUCUCCUCUGCUGUCAUUACUACCUCCCUUCAGGGUUAUCAUUGAACUCAACAGGAGUUUUAGCACAGAGUUCAGGGAAAGUGUGGUAGGCCAGUGGACUCUUUGCAAAUCUAUCUUUUUAGGAAAUAACUUUUUACACUGAUGUAAUGAUAUCUUAAUAGAGCAAUAGGUUGCAGGCAAAAAAACCAAAAGCACAUGUACUUCUCAAUUUUUUUCCCCUGCAAGAUAGAUGGGUAAAAGUCAGUUUAGGUUAAUUAUCUUUAAUUUACCCUUCUUUCUCACAAUUAUUCAGUUUUGUUCAGGAGAUGAUAGGAGACACCUUACUCUUUCUUCUGUUCCAAGCAGUGAGAACAUCCUUAGGGAAAUUAUUACUGGGUGAGGCUGAAGACUUGCUGACCCAGUGUCUUGUCUCUAGCAGUAAUUAGCAACAGAUGUGGUGAUAGGAAAAGUAGUAUGAGAACAAUGGCACAUUUGUGAUCUUCUGAUGUAAAGACUUUCAAAUCUGGAGAUAAUAUCUGGACUGUCAGGUUAAAGCUACUGGUGGACCUUGUGUUAUGGGAAUUCUUGUAGUUCUUUUUGAAUGUCUCUGGCUUCUACACCAUUCUACUACAGCAAGUUCCCUGACACUCUAAGUUGUGUGCAAAAACACAUCACUGUGCUUGUUUUUGACCCUUGUAUCUGCAAGUAGUUCAUUGACUUCCCUUAUUUGUGGUAUUAGGAGGAGUACUGAAUAAUUAUUUCCUGUUACCUAUUCUGACCUUCUUCAUACUCUUACCAAUGCUAGGCAUGUCAAAGCUCUCUCUCUGAUGUCUAUUCCAAGUUGAAUUUGCUGCUUAAUAAUGGGGCUUUGUGCCUGUGGGCUCCUUUACCUGCAUGCCUUGCAGCAGGAUGCUGCCUCUGUGCUCUCUGACCAGUCCUCAGGGGUGUCAUGGAGGCAAGGGGAGAGACAGAACAGUCACUUUUCUUCCCCCAAUGUUUCCAGCUCUCUCAACUGGUGAAAACAACUAAGCUGGGGAUCCUGUUUUUGCACUGACUUGCCAUAUGACCACUGAUGAAAUGCUUGGGCUCAGUUCUGUGUAUCAAGAAGCCCCCCAGGAUGGGAGAGGAGUGGGACCAAGGUGCUUGCAUGCUGCUGUAAAGGAGCAAUGAUGCAACCAGAGGUGCUGACAGCAUUACUGAACGGCAGCUUGUAGGGAAGAUGCAGCACCAAAUUGAGUAUUGGGUUUUGGCUGAAGUCCCAUGUCAGUCCUUGAACCAAAGGUCAUGCUGGUUCUUCUGACUACUUGUGGACCUGGCCCAUGAUCCCUUCAGACCAUGGUUUGUAGGGUGAGGACAGGAGCACUGAGCUGUCUUUCAUUGCAUGGCAGGCAGAAGAACCUGAGAUGUGCCCCAACAUUGUGGGAACUGAGCCUGCAUAAGUGUGUAAAAUAGCCUUGACUAGGGACUGCAUUUAUCUUCAGGCUCUAAUUAAGAUCUUUACAUAGCCCUAUCAGCUAUGUAUGAUGGAAAUAAGAUAACAAGGUCAAUAAACAGAGAAACUCAGAAUUUCUGAGCCAGCCUGUUCAGAACACACCAAACAACAACCACACUCAGGCAUUUGUUUUGAGUAAAUUAAAGCAAGGCAUAAUCUGGAAAAAAUGGAAGCAAUGGGUAUAGUUACAAUUAUCUAUUUUCUAAUCUCUUUUACACCUUGCUUCUCUUCAUCCUGUUAGCGUGUUGGUGAUAAAUGAGGGCAGGAUCAUUGAACAACCCUGAGUACUGCUAUGAAUGGAGCUGAUGUUAUGUGCUGCUGUAUUUUCAGAAAUUUUUUUUCUUUAUUCUUUCUUCACUUUCCUUGACUUGUCUGCUUUCCUCUGUCUUGCCCACCCAUCUCUUUUGGUUUGAGAAUCACAUGGGCCUCUUGGAUAAAGUGUUGAAAGCCUGUACUGAUCACUUAAAGAAUUUUCAACAGCUCUAACAGGGAGGAAAAAGUUCUUAAGGUCCUUUCUGACUGGUUGUUGUAACUGCUUUGCAUUGUGACACACGAGUUUAACUCUGCUUUAGCAUCCUUGUGUUGCUGGGGUGCCAUUCACUGGGACUGCCACCACUCUAAAGUCCCUCUGCCAUGUGAUGGGGGAUGUGCUGCAGAGCAGCAAUGUUUGAGGGUCUGGUCUCUUCAUCAGUGUCUUUCUAGGCAAAUGCAAGCGUGUUGUGAUACCAAGCCCGUGCAAGUGGAGAGGUUUUCGCCUGGAGGUUCAUGCGGCUGACACACAGCAAUACCACUUGUGGCAGGGCAUGGGUGUAAUCCUAGGACAGCCCUGGAGCAGGGAGGCAGAGCAGAUGUCUGGGCCCUGUCCAGUAGCUGAAUGUAAUGUGGGAACGAAACUGAAGGAUUUUAUUGUCUACAGGGCAAUGUAAAUAUAAAAAUAAAAAGAAACCUCUUGUCUCAGCCUUGUCUCCUACUCCCUCCAUCCAUGCUUCCCUGUGGCUUCUGAGGGAUAAAGUAUUGGUGGAGAAAUCAUCACAUCCUUUGAAACUGCCCCAUCCUUGGUAUGUGGCUGGCCAGCACCAAGAGAGCCUUUUAGAUAACUGAGGAGUUGAUCCAGUCCAAGGCCAUUAAGGAGGAUGCAGAAAAGGAGCUGUUAUUGUUGCCAAAGAGAAAAUACAACUGCUUAACUUGUGACAAAACCAGCCAUGGCUCAGGGUUAUGCCAAGCUAACCUGGAUGAGUCCCUCAGCUUCCUGACUUCAGAAAUUAUUGUGGUCUGUCUGAACGUCCUCACCUAUGGUGGAAGGGCUUUCAGCUGAUGGCAUUCAUACAGCAGGAGCACAAAGAUGCUGCCAAAAUUGAUCACUGGGGAGGGUAAUAUCAAGGUCUGUGCAUUCCUAGAGGUGGGAUGAUGCAGAGUAUGGGUAGGUUUACCCAGCAGAGCCAAGCUCUCCACUACUGAUAGUCUCCAGCCUCCUCAUUUCCUGCCUCCUCUCUCUGCUCUGGUACCCUUCCUGAAACAAUUAAAGAGGAGGGGAAAGGAAACAAAACCCAAAAGCCCUCUCAAACCACUGUGUGGGAUUCAACUAAACUUUUUUGUUGGGCUGGAAUGAAAGGUUUCCUGUAGGUUCUCUUUGUUUAUUUAUUUUGUAUAGCUGUUUUAAAUUGCAUUUAAAUAAAUUAAAAACUUUGUAAUGAAUUUGUUUUGUUUGGAAGAUAUUUCAAUGGAGACAGUGUUGGCUGUGUGUUUAAAAAUGAGAAGGGGACAUAUUGUUUAAAUGUUGCUUUCCAGUUCUGGUGUGCCUUACAUAUUGCUUUGUUCAGUGUGAAUCUGGAUAAGUAACACAUUUGAUUGAAACAACUGCCACAGACUCCUGCCUGUGACUUUGAAGUUCAGUAAAAUUGCAGCACCUCUUUUUUUAAUUCUGAUAAUAAAUAUGGUUUAAUUUUAGAAGCAUGAUGUUUUGUCAUGUCCUUGCCUGGCACAAGAUACAUAGAAAUAAAAUAAAGUCUCAUUAUUUACCAGCUUCACCAUGCUUUGUGUGUAUGUGUUGAAAGGGAUGGUGAUGCAGUAAACAGUCACAAAAAUUACUCUAUAACCUAGGGGUCCUGGACACAAGCCAUGCUAGGGGGAGGUGAAGCAAGGAUAAUUUCCAGGACUGUCUCCAUGUGUGACAGAGUCAUCAACAAGCAUCAGAAUAAUUUUAUAUUUGAUUGUGUUUUCUUGUUGCCACUGGUGAAUAAGGAUGGAAGCAGAAAAGGCUGCUCAUAAAAUGCCUCAUGUCUGUCAGCAGAGCCUUUGAAAUCUUUUUCCUAUACUGCUGUAAGGGUGGGGCUUUUUUUGCAAAAGGUCCUGUCUCUCAAGAGUCCUACCCUAGUCUGGAAAGCCUCUGCUGACUGUGUUCUGAAUCUGUCAGGCUUUGUGUCUGCUAGGACAGUCUCUUGCAUAGUUCUGUGGCUUUUCUUUAAAGUUAUCACUGCAGUGAGAGAUAUGGUUGGGUGGUGACAAGGCAGGGAAGACUGAUGUGAUGUUUUCCCCUCAUGGAUGUGUUGUGUUCAGGGACCUCUCAACACACUGCUGAAGCUUUCCUGACCCCUUUGGUUUUGGAGCAAAGACCAAGACUGAGCCAGUUUCUAAAUUUGGCUCAUGUUGUGUGUCUCCUGCAAGGCAUGUGCUGGAAUCCCUGUCUGAGAAAGAAAUUAAGGAGGAGGGGGUGAGCACCUUGCCUGUAGGUAAGGAAUGGGACAGUGGGUGAAAAAACAGUUUAAAGUUGGUGUGACAUGAUGCAUUGUAGGCAGGUUUUUAGGAGCUGAUCUUCCACUUUUUAGAUGGCUCAUUUGUUUAAUUCUAGUCAGCUCAGUGAAUUAAACUUUUUCGCUUCACCUCACUUAACUUCUGUGUGCAGAGAGGCCUAAGCAAUUGAUAUGACUUUUGCUUUUUGUGGCUGUUAUUUUCUCAGGCGUGUUUUUGAUUACUGUUGUCUCUGUUGCAGUUGUUUGUUCUUCUGCAAAAAGGGUGCUAAGUACUUGUACUCUGUAUGUAUUUUAUUCCUUUGUCCUCACAUACAUCAGUCUGCAAAAAAAAAAAAAAAAAAAAAAAAAAGACAAGGAGGAAAGUCAGAGAAGCAGGGUUCCCUCCUUGUAGACUGUUCUCCUCAAGGGAUGGAUUCUCAUCCAUCUCUUAAAAAGUAUUAAAACCCGGAAAGCAAUAUGUUACUUUGGAUUUUCCUUGGAAGUUACUUAAUUAGAGAUUACAGGAGAGUUGUGUCAUUGAGCAGCUGAAAAAACAACAAUGCUUGUGAUACUGCAUCUGUGCCAUUUCUGUGCUUGGCUUUUGGCAGAAAGCCUGACUUGCCCAAGGUGUGAUAAUACUCUGGCAAGACAACGUGUGUUGUUGCACGUGUGUGACAUAGAUCCGCAAGCCAACAACGUGGCGUGGCUUCACCAAAGUAACCGUAACCCCAAAUCCUUUUUUCCUCCUCAUUUCCACCUGUAGCAGUAAACAAACACUUUGGAUUUGAUUUCUGUAACAAUAUUAUGAUGUGCCCAUCUUAUUACAGGCUUCUGCUGAAGCCUCAGUGAGUAGCAGCUGACGUGCUGUCUGCAGCCUAUGUAGGGAGGUAGUGGCGGGGCUGAUUGGCGUGCUGUCUUCUGCCUGUCUGCUGGUAUUAGUAUUCAUAUCAAAGCAAGCUGUUUGGUUCCCUUUCUCCUGGGCAACUGCAGGAGUCAAUCACUGCUUCCUGUUGUGAAUGGCAACAAAGAGAAACUGUUCAUUGAUUCAGAGCAAAAGAGCCCAAGUGGAUGCUUUGAUUUCAGAGAAACUCUGCCCUGCAAGGGAUCUGCCAGGUUAGACUGCCAGUGUUUUUGCAAAUUUUGUCCAAAUUGUGACUUUAAAAGUGUUUUGGCAAUAGAGUGAAAGACAAGCAGGCAGGCCUCGUGGAUAAUUUUACAGGAAUAACUAUGACUUUUAUGUGCCAGUGUAAGACCUAUGAUUCCACGAUGAGAGUCAGACCAUAAUUAAAUAUCUAACUCUCUAGUGGGGCUGUGCUGGUGGUAAAUGGGGUAUUGACUUUUGGCUCGUAUUUUGACUAUAACUACAAAUACAAUGUAAGGACUUCAGCAAAUCCCAAUGCCUAAGGUGGUAAUGUAUUCUGUAAAUCAAUAAUAUAUUAGUAAUAAAAAUGACCAAAGCAUGCAUCCAUUAGGAAUUCAUAAUAGAAAUUUGUUUAGGUUAUAUAGUGUAUGUAUUGAUUGCUGCUAUUUAAAGAUGAAGUAUGGCUUUGGAGCAGAGUGCUUAUAUAUGUAGCUGUCUACAUUUUAAAUUCAUUUAUUUUUAAUAUGAAGAUGGACUUGAUAACAUGGGAAAAUAUGUAUGAAUAGAAGUCAGUAUUUUAUAUUGCAAGCUGUUAUGGGGAUAUAAGUGUGCUGAGAAGCCACAAGUAGAUGCCUGAUGUUUCUGAAACCUAAAUCUUGGACUUCAGAAAAAUAAUAAGUAAUAGACGUGGCAGCCUCUAUUUGCAGCUCCAGUCUUCCAGGUAGCUUAAGUUUUUCUUGGCUUGAUGCCUUAACUUGAAUUGCUUACCUGUCCAUUUUGUGGUAGAGUGUAUAAUGUAACCAUGUGUAAUAUAGCAAUGAUGCAUAUAUAUAUAUAAAUACAUAAAUAUAUAUAUAUAUGUAUAUAUAUGCUGCUUUGCCUGACUGGCAGGGAUGGAUCUGGGGUAGAGAGCUGCCAGCAGAACACAGACCUUGCUUCUCUGCAGUGCUGUUGGCUCUCUGCAGCUCCCACAGCUGGCACCAGGGGCUGCACAGCCAGGGUUGGCUCAUGGGACAAUGCCAGGGUAGGGAGCACCUGCAGCACCAUAACUGGGAAGUAGGAUUUAGGGAAUAAUGCCCCCCAACCCAUCCCAGUAACAUCACACCAGGUCCCUACAUGUCCCUGAUGCUGAUUUAUUAUUAUAGGGUGUACACUAGCUAAUUACACUGAGAGGGCAAUUAAUAUACUUUACAGAAUUACAUUGGUUUAUUAGAUAGCCAUAGUGGAAGGCUGAAUUAAAGGAGAAAACAAUAAUAACAACAACAAAACAAACAAACAAAAAACAAAACCCCAAAUAACAAAAAAAACCCAACCAAACAAAACCCAACACAAACCCCAAGACAGACAAACCUACUAAACACAUAGUGCCAUACCUACACUUUCAUCCAUCCUUCUAAACUUUGGCUAAUUAUUCCAGGUCCAGUGCAUCUGCAUUGUUACCUUCUGUAAGGACAAAGGGUGGAGAAAACAAGUCACAUGCCGUAACUGCAGUCUUUGUCUCACUGCAGCAAAUAAAAGAUGUUUUAGAUUUCACAGGUUAUGAUUCAUUAUGAAAACAAAGCAAGCCUCUGACUGAAAAUCCCAUCUGUUGGUUUGCAUUAAGCAGUUCCCUUCCUCCUCCUUGCCAUUUUUUAUUCCUGGGCAUUCAAGAAGCUGUCCUGAAUUGUUUUUGUUUUUUUUUUUAAUAUUUGCAAACACUAAUGGCAGUAUACAAACCUUCUCUUUGUGGAUAAGCUCAGCAGCUCUGCAUAAGAGUUUACUGGAGGUUUUGUGUUGUUUGUUUUUUUUUUUUUUUGUGUUGUUUGGGGUUUUUUUGUUUUUUGUUUUUGUUUUGUUUUUGGGUUUGUUGGUGUUAACCUUUUUAGAGUGUGGUCUUUUUUGGGUUUUUUGUGGGUUUUUUUUUUUUUUUUAACUCUAAGUUAAUAAAUUCAGUAAGUUCCAUGCAGCUAAAUGCCCCUUUCCUCUUCCUAUUCUCUUUCUCCCAAAUCUACAUAGAUCCUUAAAAUAAAAAGAAACUCCUAUGAUCAACAAGCCAGACUUUGCACAGUAGAGAUCUCACCUAGUGAUUUGUGAAUCAGGCAUCAGUGUGUUCCAGAAAAAUACUCAGCCAUUGUUUAGGUACUUCAGCUGAUGAAGAACAAAUCAUAUAUAUAUAAGUAAACUAUUCCAUGGUAAAUUGCUCACAUGGUUAAAAAUAUUACCUUAUUUCUAUCUCCAUGUAUCAGACUUCAGCUUUCAAAUCCUGGCUCUAACUUCCCUUUUUCCACUAGAUUAAAGAGAAAUAUCUUCCCUUGGUAGUUACCUGCAGACUAGGAUAGUCUUUUAGACCAGUUAAACAGUCUAAGUCAUUUUGGUGGCUCACUUGUUAAACUGCCUUUCCAGGCUCUACUUUAUUUUUUUUUUUUAGGUUCUUUUGCAAACCUUUAGAGUUUCUGACAAACCCUCUGAAGUGUAGGGUACCACAAUGUGUACAUAUUCCAAGAAUGAAUGGUCUCAUUGACACCAUAUACAGGGCAAUUUCAUCAUCCCACUUCUACUUAUUAUUCACCUCCUCAUACUUGCAGAGAUCAUGUUUGCCCUUUGAGCUACUGCAUGUUGUUCAAAUUGUUAUCAGUUAUGGAAACAGUCUUGUUUCAGAGUGACUGCUUGCAAGUCUGUGGUCUCACAUAAUGAGCACUUCUUGUAUUCUUACAUGGACUUGAAUUUGUCUGUGUUCAAGCGUGGUUUGCUCAGGUAUUGUGUAGAUCAAUCUGCAAAACCGACAAGGUCUGUGUCAUUAUUUAACAUUUCAUCAGUUUUUGCACUGACUGCAAAUUUGGCAAUCUCCGAGUGUAUUUUCUCCCAGAUCAUCGACAAGUAUGUUGAAUGAUUUUGGACUGAUGAGGUUCUUGCUGAACUUCCAGAAAUGCUUCAGUUGAGAUGACAGUUCCACAUUUGCAUAGUUUUUGAGAAGCAACAGCUAAUGCAUUUUUCCUGUAUGCAAGUGGACUUACAUUCUGUUUUCACGCCUUUUUUUUUUUUUUUUUUUUAAUGCUUGUUAGUAGCAAAGUGCCAGUGCCCAGAAUCAAGCUAAAAAACAGCAGGGGGAUUCCUAAGAGGGUUUGUGGUUUCUUACAAACUCCCAUUCUUCAGACUGAAAAAUACUGGGUGUUUUGCUAUUAAUAUCUUUCCAAGUAUCUGCUAGAACAGAAAGCAUCUCUUUAUCUCUGUGAAUGAUGAAUAAUUCUGUUUGCCUCUUUCUAAAUACAGAUUGGAGAGAGUAUGUGAAUAUUUGUAGGGAGUUCAGUUUAUGCUUGAUAGCUGGUUCUUUCUGACCCACAAACCUUACUAGUUUAAAAACACUUUAAAAAUUCUGCCAGCAUAUUUUUUUUAGUUUGAUUUCAUUAGUAUUUUGAGCUUUUAGUGCUGCAUGUUUGUGUUUCCAAACUGUAAUUUGUACUUGUUAACAACACUGCUACAAUUUUUUCUAAUUUAUUUUUUGUAAGUGAGGGUAGAAUGUUUAACAAAAGAAGCCAUUUCUCAUGAUUGCAGACUUGAGGGUUUUGUCAUGUGGAAACAGACUUCUCAGUGUACUGUCUGCAUUUUUAAUCUUAAAUCUUCCUCUCUGUUUAAUUUUGUGCUAAAUAUUUUAACUUAUGAGGAAUUAUCCUGGCUAAAACCAUCAAAUAUUUGUAUACCAGUCCAGACUGUGAUCUUUGUUUCUUACCAAGUAAAAUUGGUUUGUGUUUAUUUGCUCAUAGAUGUCUGUGUGUUUGUUGAUGCUGGUGGUUUUGGUUUUGUUUGUUGUCCAGUUUUUUAGGAGUCACUUUUUGUUUGUUUGUGGUUUUGGUUGGGCUUUUGUUUGUUUGGGUUUUUUUGUCUGUGAUUAACACAAUCAAUAAGGACUAAUAUUAGAGUGCAUCAGAAAGAUUGACUCAACAAUAAACUUGUUCAGUGACCUUUUAUAUUUUGCCCAGAUUGUUACCCCUUGAAAAACUGUUGUUUUGUUGUUUUUUUUUUUACCCUACACAGUUUGAGGAGCUUUAUUACAGAAUAAUGGGGGGCAUUAGAAGAAUUGUAAGUAAAAAAAUUGGAUUUGUUUAAUGAAGAUUUUUCCUUGUGCUCUAAAAAUUCCUUUGGAGGGACAGUGGCAACAGAAUUCUUUCCUCAAAUAUGAAAAGGGAGCACAAGAUGAUGGAAAUAUGUAACAAUUUUAUUCUUAUAAAAAGCAGAAAAUUCUAAAUGAAGUAUAAAUAACUCUAGAAGAACAAUGCUUGAAACAGAUACAAAAGUAAAUGGAUAUUACAGAUGGAAGAAAAAUCCUUGAAAUAGAUCCUUUGUUAAAUAUAAGUCAGAUUCUAUUAAGUGCACUUAAAUGUACUGCAGCAUAAUUGCAUUAGAAAUUUAAUUAAUAAUCUCCUAGAAAGUUUUCUGAAAACCUUUCUCUGGUGCUUUUUUUUUUUUUCCUAACUUGAAAGAAUCCUUCAAAACCCUUCAGGGGCAAACAGGACAGGGGAUUUACCAAGUGCUAAGCAAGUGCUUGAUUUUCCAAGAGCCCUUUCUGUGCCCUUCAUCCUGAGCAUCUUCUGGUGUCACAGCAGUGCUGGGGCUUCAAAAAAGUCCUGCUCUCUCUCUCUCGCACCUUAUUUAUAGGGGAAGGAGGAAUGGACUCUUCCAUCAGGUUAUUUUGCAAAAAUAUUUCUUUACCUUUGGGCCCACUAUCUCUUUCUGAUGAGACUGGGCAAAUAUAUCCUGGUUGUUGCUGGCAGAGAGAUCAGCAAAAGAUUUACUUCUUUCAUCUGCCUCUUGAAGGAGGACAAUUUGAAACAAGUCUAGUUAUUGUGUUUAAAAAAAAAAAGAAAACAGCUAAAAAAGAGUCUUCCAUCCAUCACAGUUAUUUGCAGUGGUUUUCUCCUGAAGCAACUUAGAUAAUUUUUUUUCAGCCAUAUUUUCAUUGAACUGGUGUGCAUUGUGCCCUCAAGUGUAGCAUCUGCACCUGUUUGUUACUCAUGCUGCAUGACUAUCCUUUCGUGUGUCACUGUAGCUGCUGUUCCUAACCUGCACACAUUUCUUCUUCUUUUUAAAGUAUCCUUUGGGGUACGGACCCUCAUUUUGUUCAGCGUGCAUGUGGGUGUCUGCAAAGGAGCCCUACAGUUUCCCACAGAACAAGUAAUGAGUCAUGAUAUCCAGUGCUUUAGGGACUUCUAUAAAGCAGGGCUGGCUUUUAACCAGUACGAGGUUGGUGUUUUGGUUUUUUUUCUGAGCACAGUGUCUCUGUGACUACUCACACUUGUUAUUGCUACUUUUUAAAGUGCUUAUUAGGCUAUUGCUCACCGCUUUGAGGGAUGGAGAGGAAGAUUAAUAAUAACUUUUAUCCUGGGACACCUCCACAGCUGGUGGAGUGUGGGAGGGCAGGAUUCAGAGUAUUUUAUUGCAGAUAAAAAUAUUGUAAGGUGAGUUUGGCCAUACUGGUGUGCCCUGGCUGCCCCGGAUCUGCAGCGGGAGUCCUGGUGGUAUCACAGGGUAGCAUCCCCUCCCUACUACAAAGCUCAGAAGCUCUCAGCUUUCACAUGACUUUUCUGGGAGCAGUUGAUAAGUCCAGGGCAUUUCUGGGAGCCUACGGCUGCGCAUUAUUUCAGAUUUUGAAUUUUCUUUUUUUUUUUUUAUGUGACUCACCAUGAGAUGGGGGCAAUAUUGCAUGCAUGUAAGUAUUAUAUCAACACACACCCAUAUCUGGCUAUAUAGUGUUUCUGGAGCAAUAUUUGCACAGGUUAUAUUAGGUGGGGAAAUAAUUAAGCACAGUGCUUGCUGUGAGCAGGUGGCCACAAUAGGAAACUUCAUCACUCAAGAUUAUAGUUGUGUUUCCUAGAAGGUGAACCAUUUUCUGGAGGUAAUUAAUUAGCUUUAAUGUUUUGCUACUUUCUACUGGGGAGAAAGGGGUACUAUGGGCAAAAAUAUGUGAAUUCCUUGAAAAUCUGAUUUUACUUCAGGUAUAUUUCUACCUGGAACAAGUGUGCAUGUUUCAGUUCAUUCUUCAGAUUUAAUUCUCCUACUGUUCUUUAAGAUUGAGGGGAAGUAAAUAAAGUUGGCCACUGUUCAGAUGAAUGUAAAUGCUUCUGAAAAGCUCUUUGAAGCUGCUAGUAACUUCAAGGUGAAAUCCUUGAUAUUUUGAGGUCAAAGGAGGGAGUAAAUGUCAUACCGUUUGGGAGUCAUGAUUCAGAGGACUGCAAAGAAUAACCUGGCACAGCCUACUUGUAAUUCUUGUUAGUGUAUCAGCAAAAAAGGAUCUUGGAUCUCAUUCCAGUGUUCCUGGGAUGGAGCUCAUAUGUGGCAUGCUAUGGAAAACCUCAUCCAGGAGCUGGGGUCUGGGUUAUCUUUGAAGAUUACUCACAGGUAAUCUAUAGUAAGAAGUGCCCAUUGGUUUCUCAAAAUUCAACCCCAAAUGUCAUUUUGCCAUGUAGAAAACUAUGCUUGCCAUUUUGCCUGUU
This is a non-coding RNA of Taeniopygia guttata (zebra finch), 14344 nucleotides long. The record is from RefSeq and is a predicted model, not a curated record. Lineage: Eukaryota; Metazoa; Chordata; Aves; Passeriformes; Estrildidae.